Branchiostoma belcheri (Belcher's lancelet) is the source of this 329-nucleotide long non-coding RNA. RefSeq lists it as uncharacterized. NCBI's taxonomy places the organism in Eukaryota, Metazoa, Chordata, Leptocardii, Amphioxiformes, Branchiostomatidae. The transcript has 4 exons. The record is from RefSeq and is a predicted model, not a curated record.
AGACAGCUGACUUUGAAGUUGAAGACAGAGUGAAGAGUUUGUACAGUUAGGUGUGUCCUGACGUUCCUGUCCUGACUAGGAAAAACCUGCGAUGACGGCUGAGCAAACCAGUUGACCUGAAGACACAGAGUUUGUACCUGGUUAUGCAGGUGUGUGCUGAGGCUGUCCAGUCUGUGAGAAACCUGCGAUGACAGCUCAACAAACCAUUUGACUUGAAGAUGCAGAAGGAAAUGCAGACAGCAAAGUAGUGAGAGAAGACAUACAGUGGGCACAGUUGUAACUUAUGCGGACCCGGAGACUGGACUGCAGCAGGAGGAAGAACCAGACUU